This 2136-nucleotide long non-coding RNA is filed under the name Capsicum annuum. Its description in RNAcentral is "long non-coding RNA (CANN_LNC002416)". The record is from RNAcentral. Lineage: Eukaryota; Viridiplantae; Streptophyta; Magnoliopsida; Solanales; Solanaceae.
UGAAAGCAAAAGGCGGGAUCGUCAAAUGAUGUGGUAUGACAAAUCAUCCUGAACAGUAAUCGCAAGAAGAUAACACGAUAAUCAUAGUACAAGAAACAACAGAUAGUAACCAAACUCAAAGGACAACAAACUACAAGAGUAAUACUAAGACUAAUAGUACGGAAGUAUAAGCGAGACAACACAUGUACUAGAUCACUAAACUUAUAGGUUCACGGAAUUCAGUAGCUUUCAUCGAAGCUCUAUGUUAAAAACUACAGUAAAUAACUACAAACAUUUAACUGUGAACUCGGUUAUUACUGUAUAUUAACUCGAGGUGCAAACUCAUUAACUUACCUAGCUGAUCAUUAGUGGCCUUAGGAGAGAUAACCAAUACCCUACGUCGAAUCGAUAACUUUCUUCCAGCAAAACUAAUCAACUGACACAACAUAUAUCAACCAAACUCAAAGAACAAGUAACUACAAGAGUAAUACUAAGACUAAUAGUACGGAAGUAUAAGCGAGACAACACUCGUACUAGAUCACGAAACUUUGAUAAAAGAAUUUAAAAGAACAUGGAGAAACUUAAACGUUCACGAGAAUUCAGUAGCUUUUGUCCAAACUCUAUACUAAAAACUCCACUAAAUACCUACAAACAUUUAACUCUGAACUUGGUUAUUAUUGUAUAUUAACUAGAGGUGCAAACUCAUUAACUUACCUGGCUGAUCAGUAGUGGCCUUAGGAGAAAGAACCAAUAGUUUUCGACGAAUCGACAACUUUCUUCCAGCAAAACUAAUCAACUGAACCUUUGAAGAUGGAGAAAAACUUGGUUUUUUCCUAAAAGGUGCAUGAAAAAGGUGAGUGUUUGUUGUUACAAUGAGCCAAAAUUUGGUGGCCAUUUGUUGCGGCGACUGCGAUGGUAGUGGUGGUAACUUGUAUAAAGUUGAACAAGUAGACAUACACGUUCUACAUGGCAAUUCACGAGAAAUGUAUUCAACUUACCCCUACUUUGGAGGUAGAGAGACUGUUUCUAAUAGACACUCCGCUCAAGGAAAAAAAAAAGUCCAAAGCAGUUCAAGAAAAGAAAUGCCGGAAAUGAAGAAAUCAUCACAAAAUACUAUAGAAAACAUGACAAAUCAUCCUGAAUAGUAAUCACACCAAGAAGAUAACACGAUAAUCGAAUUACAAGAAACAACAUAUAUCAACCAAACUCAAAGAACAAGUAACUACAAAAGUAAUACUAAGACUAAUAGUAUCGAAGUAUAAGCGAGACAACACUCGUACUGGAUCACCAAACUUCGAUCAAAGAAUUAAACAGAACAAUAUGAAGUAAAAGGGCAGCCUGGUGCACUAAAACUACCGCUAUGCGUGGUAUCCGGGAAGGGCCCCACCACAAGGGUGUAUCGUACGCAGCCUUACCUUGCAUUUCUGCUAGAGGCUGUUUCCAAGGCUUCCGUGACCUCCUGGUCACAUGGCAGCAACUUUACCAGAACAAUAUGGAGUGCUUGAUCAAAAGUGAACUCAGUUAUUAUUGUAUAUCAGUAAGCUACCUGGCCGAUCAGUAGUGGCCUUAGGAGAAAGAACCAAUAGUUCUCGACGAAUCGAUAACUUUCUUCCAGCAAAACCAAUCAACUGAACCUUUGAAGAUGGAGAAAAACUUGGUUUUUUCCUAAAAGGUGCAUGAAAAAGGUGUGUGUUUGUUGUUACAGUGAGCCCAAAUUUGGUGGCCAUUUAUCGCGGCGACUGCGGCGGUGGUGAUGAUGAUGAUGGUGGUAGAGGGAGUGAUCAAGAGGGAGCAAAAGGGGUUGUAGAAAUGAACAAUGCAUUUGUGAAAAAAAUCUGAAAAUUUGUUAGUUUGAUGAGGUUUUGUUAAAGUGAUCAAGAUAAGGUUAUGUGAUGAAUGUGUGGAGGAUAUUGAAAACUUAAAAAAAAAAAAAAUCUGUUUUCUUGGAACCCCACCUAGAAUUUGUUGUGUUUGAUCCGAAUUUUGUUAGUUCGGCCCGGAAAGCUUUACGGUGCGACUCGUUUGUGAUUUUUAAUGGCUGGUAGAGGGAGUGAUCAAGAGGGAGCAAAAGGGGUUGUAGAAAUGAACAAUGCAUUUGUGAAAAAAAUCUGAAAAUUUGUUAGUUUGAUGAGGUUUUGUUAAAGUGAUCAAGAUAAG